GACGCUGGCGGCAUGCCUAAUACAUGCAAGUCGAACGAUCACUUCGGUGGUAGUGGCGCACGGGUGCGUAACGCGUGGGAAUCUGCCCUUGGGUUCGGAAUAACAGUUGGAAACGACUGCUAAUACCGGAUGAUGACGUAAGUCCAAAGAUUUAUCGCCCAAGGAUGAGCCCGCGUAGGAUUAGCUAGUUGGUGAGGUAAAGGCUCACCAAGGCGACGAUCCUUAGCUGGUCUGAGAGGAUGAUCAGCCACACUGGGACUGAGACACGGCCCAGACUCCUACGGGAGGCAGCAGUAGGGAAUAUUGGACAAUGGGCGAAAGCCUGAUCCAGCAAUGCCGCGUGAGUGAUGAAGGCCUUAGGGUUGUAAAGCUCUUUCGCCAGGGAAGAUAAUGACGGUACCUGGAUAAGAAGCCCCGGCUAACUCCGUGCCAGCCGCCGCGGUAA
Molecule: ribosomal RNA, 445 nt
Filed under: uncultured bacterium
Lineage: Bacteria
Description: bacterial SSU rRNA
Rfam family: Bacterial small subunit ribosomal RNA
Source: RNAcentral